AUUAAGAUGGCAGAUCAGUGCAUAAGGUUUAAGUUCUUAUUAGGGAAUAUUUAAUUAUUCUUCUUAAUA
Molecule: transfer RNA, 69 nt
Filed under: Ascarosepion apama (giant Australian cuttlefish)
Lineage: Eukaryota; Metazoa; Mollusca; Cephalopoda; Sepiida; Sepiidae
Description: tRNA-Leu
Source: RNAcentral